This 1888-nucleotide long non-coding RNA is filed under the name Bemisia tabaci. Its description in RNAcentral is "lncRNA ENSSWEETPG004933". The record is from RNAcentral. Lineage: Eukaryota; Metazoa; Arthropoda; Insecta; Hemiptera; Aleyrodidae.
AUGAUCAACAUUGCUCAUGGUUUGCGGUUUUGUGUGUGGCGAGGCAAGAAACCAGCCUACUAUGAUGAAAAAAAAAAGGCUGUAACUUUCUCGGAGAUCACCCAAGAGCUGGCCCACUAUCCAUACAAUUUAUUUUUGUUUGCUGAAGGCCUGAUCAUGUGCCUCUUAAAUCAUGAAAAUGGUCUACUCUUGGGAGAAGUUGCACCAAAGGUUUUUCAAACAGUUCUAUUUAGCAGUUCUAUUUGUUAUAUGGGCGACACUAAUUUUGCAACCACAGAUUUAAGAGAUAUAUUUAAAGAGCGAGACAGAGUGCGCUUUAUAGCUGUCAGAGCACCUGGAAAUCGAAUGGUUGCUCAGUGGGUCGCGACCUAUGUUGCACCCUUAGAUCCUGCUGAUAACGCAGAUUUCUUAGUGCACGGAAUGAAAGUGCAAUGAAAAUCUUACUAAGUAUGUACAAAUCUUGAGACUCAAUUUCAAAAAAUCUUAAUUUUCCCCCCACCCUCAAAUUUUUUCUUUCAGUCGGAAUUUGUUUAUAAUUCCCCUUGUUUUGGUUCAGUAUUAUCAUCCAGUUAUUUUCAAAGUAUUUGUGGUCUUAAAAUUAUGGAUGUAUGUAAUAAUAUGUAGUCCCUUUUUGGUAAAGUAAAAUUUUAUAUGAGUUUUCAAAAUAAAUCAUUCCUUUUUAUUGAACAUCAUAAAUGCUGUCUCAGAGAUUCUAAGACUGAUGCUAACACCUGAAACAAUUUAUAAUUUUUUAAAUUUGAGUGAAGUCAUUUUCUUUCUCUAUUUCAGUUUUUGAGAAUAUAUUUUACCUACUGACUUUCUCUAUUUGGCCUAGCAAUAAAAGUCUUACCUCGUCUAAAAGUUAUUACUAUAUUAUUUUUUUUAAUUUUUGGCAAAAGUUUACCUAUUAAAAAACAACAAAAUAAUUGUAUAAUAAACUAAUCACUAAGAAGGGUUUUUUGAAGAAAAAUUUAAUUAAUUUUUUUGAAGCUUAUACACAUCAAAAUUAUGGCUGCUGUCAAUUUUAGUUGUGUUGUAAAAAAUGUGUUAAAUGUUUGUGCUCUGAACUAUUAAUUGGACUGUCUUUGUCACCAAUUCAUUUCUGCAUUUCAUCAAUAUGCUAUUACAAUUCUUAACUUGAUUCAGUAAGUUUGAAAAGUUAACAGAAAAAGGUGUUCAAGUGUUUGGCCAAUGUGGACCAAUGCUCUUGGAAUUUCUCUUUCUCAGUUAAGGAUAGUCAAUAUAAAUGUAUGUGUCAUGUUUGUUCCUUUUUAGUAAAUUAAAGUUUCCAUUAUCUUCAUAAUAGAGUUUGCCUUUUCCACCGAACAUGACAAAUGUUGUCUAAGAGAUACAGGAUUGAUGCUACACCUACAUGUUAUUUUCGAGUUUUAAUCAUAGUCAUUUUCUUUCACCAUUUCGAUGAUUAACAACUUACUUAUCUUACUGGCCAACUUCCUCUGUGCCUUCAUUUAGCCUAGUGGAUAUAUUUAACAAGGUCGCAAAUUUAUUAUGUUCUUUUUUUAUAAAUAACUCAAUUCCAAAACAAUACAAUUUUAUUUUAAGAAAAAAUUAUUACUCAUUAAAAUAUUUUUUAGAUAAUGUUUUUUUAAUUUGUUUAACUCAUUUACAUUGAAGACUAUGGCUGUGUCAAUUUUUGUUAUGCUGUAAAUAAAUUUGUUUAUUUGUCCUAUCUUAUGUUUGAAAAUUACUAAGGAUCAUUGCUGCGCCCUUAUUAUUCCCCCAUUUCUGCAUUUCUUCAAUUUGAUUUUCAAAAAUCUCCAUGCCUAUAAAAAUUUGGGAAAUUUUACAGUAAGAAAUGUCCAUCAAAUAGUUGCGUCGAUCACUGAGGCAUUAUGAUGCCUGAACUUCAGAAAUAACUUAUCGGAAC